This 2073-nucleotide ribosomal RNA is filed under the name Triticum aestivum (bread wheat). RNAcentral describes it as "partial small subunit ribosomal RNA". Lineage: Eukaryota; Viridiplantae; Streptophyta; Magnoliopsida; Poales; Poaceae. The record is from RNAcentral.
AUGGCCAAGAUCACAGGAACAGCCAUAUGUGCUCUCUUCAUCUUCUUCUCCUUCACUUGCUGCCUGCCUCCUCUUGCUGGAUCCUUGUCCUUCGACUACCCAACCUUCCGCUCGGAGGACCAGAAGGCCAUCAAGAUCGAAGGUAACGCUUCCUUCAGUGUUGGGCACAUCGACAUUAGCGGCAACAACUGGGACGUCCGUAAGAGCCAGGGGCGGGCGUCGUACAGUACCCAGCCAAUGUUGCUGUGGGAUGGGCACACAGGCGAGGUGGCUAGCUUCACCACCAGCUUCUCCUUCAUCAUCAAGCCCAAGUCCAACAGCAGCAGGGGGGCUGGCAUGGCGUUCUUCCUUGCCAGCUACCCGUCGAGCUUACCGACUGGGUCAGCAGGCUACUACAACCUCGGUCUCACGAACCAAAAAGAUGGCGCUGUGGCGGCAGGCGACAACCGGUUCGUGGCGGUGGAAUUCGACACCUCCAAUGAGACCGAGGUAUCAGAUCCCGACACCACUGUGGACCACGUUGGCAUUGACAUCAACUCGUUAAAAUCGGUGAAAACUUUGCCCCUGCCAAACUUCAGCCUCACUGGAAACAUGACUGCCGCUAUCCAGUAUGACAACAUUUCAAGUAUCAUGUCUGUCACACUAUGGCUUGGUGAUGGCCAUGGCCCGAUUUACAGACUUAGCUCCAAGGUUGAUCUCAAGAGCGCACUGCCGGAGCUGGUUGCGGUUGGCUUCUCGGCGUCGACGGGCAAAUCCGUUGAGCUGCAUCAAUUGCUUUCUUGGCACUUCAACUCAUCGCUGGAGGGCAAGACGGCAACAGUAGUAGCACCGCCGCCCUCCUCGAGAACUUCCAGUUCCGGAGUCAUAGCAGGAGCCGUUGCUGGGGCAUCGCUGUUCCUCGUGGUGUUCUUCUCCAUGUCAGCCUUCUUGCUACGUCGCCGCCAGAACAAGAAGAAGAGGGAGGCCAAGGACGAGGGUAUGGACUCGGAAGGCGAGGUGGUCAUGGAGAUGGAGUUCGGGACGGGGCCAAGGAGGUUCCCGUAUCGGCAACUCACCAACGCGACACGGAACUUUGCAGCAGAGGAGAAGCUCGGGCAAGGUGGCAGUGCAGUGUACAGAGGCCACCUGAGAGAGCUUGGCCUCGCUGUGGCCAUAAAGCGAUUCUCAAAGGAGUCAUCCAUGCAAGGGAGAAAGGAGUACACGUCGGAGAUCAACGUCAUCAGCCGGCUGCGCCACCGAAAUCUGGUGCAGCUUGUGGGCUGGUGCCACAAUCAUGAUGAGCUCCUGCUGGUUUAUGAGCUCAUGCCCAACCGUAGCCUCGAUAUCCAUCUCCACGGCAAGGGUACCUUCUUGACAUGGGCGAUGAGGAUGAAGAUAGUCCUCGAGCUUGGCUCUGCACUGCUCUACCUCCACGAGGAAUGGGAGCAAUGCGUGGUGCACCGAGACAUCAAGCCCAGCAACGUGAUGCUGGACGAGUCCUUCGGUGCCAAGCUUGGCGACUUCGGGCUCGCGAGGCUCAUUGACCACGCCGUCAGGAUGCAGACGAUGACCAUAGUGUCGGGGACGCCGGGCUACGUGGACCCCCAGUGCCUGAUCACCGGCCGCGCCAGCUCCGAGUCGGACGUGUACAGCUUCGGCGUGGUCCUGCUGGAGGUGGCGUGCGGGAAGAGGCCGAUGAGCACGUCCGCUAACAAGCAGGGCGUCUCCCGGCUCACCGAAUGGGUCUGGGACCUGUACGGCGAGGGAGGCAUUCUUGAGGCGGUGGACGAGCGGCUGAACGGCCACUACGAUGAGGCGGAGGUGGAGCGUGUGAUGGUCGUGGGGCUCUGGUGCGCGCACCCGGACUCGAGCGUGCGGCCGUCCAUCAGGACGGCCAUGGCCACGCUGGUGUCCAAGGAUGCCAAGCAGCUGCCCGUGCUGCCGGCCAAGAUGCCCGUGCCCACUUACGCGCCCCCGAUGGCACCGUGGGACGGGCAGUCGUCGUCUUCAGGUUUGUCGACGUCCACCGUGACGCGAUCGUCGACGACUAGCGGCUACACAGGGCCAGCGCCAAUGGUGACACCCAGGGCAUGA